This 1405-nucleotide long non-coding RNA is filed under the name Gossypium barbadense (sea-island cotton). RNAcentral describes it as "long non-coding RNA (GBAR_LNC004793)". Lineage: Eukaryota; Viridiplantae; Streptophyta; Magnoliopsida; Malvales; Malvaceae. The record is from RNAcentral.
GGGGAUCAAAACUAGCAAUAUACCAGAUACCAAAACACUGCGUUUAGGCGCAGAUUAAUUGCGAUAACGCGCAAAUCUUUAGAAAAAAUUAAAAAACAAAGAAGAUGCACAGAGGGCCCAAUCCGAUGCUAGCGAGAAAGAGAGGAAUCUAAUGCGCAAAUAACCCUCAAAGACUAAAGCGCAGAUCCUAUCCGGGCACGGGUCGGGUUAUCGGGCUAUGGCUCCUGAAACAGUGCGGUUUUGUAGCCGUUGAGAUUGGCUUAAAACGACAUCGUUUCAUAUGUUUCAUAAAACAAAAUUAAAGAAACUCUAAGUUAACUAUUAGCCAUUUGAAAAGGAACCCAACAAGUCCUAAAGCCCUUCCUUUCCCCUCUCAUUCGACUGAACUAAGAGGCACCCUUGGACUGCCGUUUGGCCUCCAUGUUUAGCCGACAGUUAUCACGCAAAAGCCUAAUCCGGCUCCAUCCAACCGCGAAUCCAAGAUUUUGCUCAAAAGCUUCAAAGUCCUCGCCUAAACUUCGAUUACGACAAAGUAAGCAAGGACUCAAAUGAGCCAAUACGAAGGUAAAUCUUUUUCCUUCCUUUUUAAACGAAUAUCGAUCAUAGAGAAAGCAAAAAAAAAAAAACGAAGGAGAUGCUAGAUUUAAAACAAUCACCUUUUUCAAAAUUGCUUUCGAAAUGCUCUUUUUUUCUCUAUAUUUCAGUAUGCGUGUGUGUAAAAAAAAAGGGAACCGUUACAAUUAAAAAUAAAAAGGGCUUUAUAGCCGAAUAAUGAAAACCAAAAAAUACAAUCUUUCUUUCUUUUCUCUUCAUUUUGCCCUUGUGUUUGUCCCUUUUUGCAGGUAUGUGGUGUGCGUGACGCGUGUACGGAGGCUGUGCGCUAGCGUACGGAAGCGCAAUGGAGGCCAUACAUGGGGGAGCGGCGCGAGGCAAAUAGGGGCUAAGGUUUUGGCUGAAUUUGUUUUAGUUUUUGGGCCGUUUGGGCCUUAGGGUUAGUUUUGUUUCGGGCUUGUUUUAUUUUGGCAGAUUUGGGCUGAUGUACUAAAGGGACUUGGACUAUUAAAAUUUGGUUUCAUUAUUAUUUGGUUUAUGUUUGUACGGGCCCCGGGCAGAUUUGGGCCUAUACACUAAUUUCCUAGCAAAUUUGCUUAGAAAAAGCACAUUACAUAUCAGCCGUCUACAAUAGGACUUAUCAAAAGAUAACACAAAAGUUAGUUCAAUUACUUGAAAUUUCAAAUAAUUAAUUUCCCUCAUAUAACAAUCGUCUCACCCACAUUUCUUUUUGUUCAUAUGGGAUAGUAAAGAAAACAAGCAUAUUAAUUGGAUUACUAGGGAUCUUCCUUGUAGCAAUAAGUUUUUUUCGCUUGGGACAGUCCUAUAAUUUUCAUCAACUCAUCCCAAGGUU